AAUGGGCGCAAGCCUGAUCCAGCCAUGCCGCGUGAGUGAAGAAGGCCUUCGGGUUGUAAAGCUCUUUCGGUGGGGAAGAAAUUGCUUCGGCUAAUAUCCGGAGUAGAUGACGGUACCCGCAUAAGAAGCACCGGCUAACUACGUGCCAGCAGCCGCGGUAAUACGUAGGGUGCGAGCGUUAAUCGGAAUUACUGGGCGUAAAGCGUGCGCAGGCGGUUGUAUAAGUCAGAUGUGAAAUCCCCGGGCUCAACCUGGGAACUGCAUUUGAGACUGUACGGCUAGAGUGUGGCAGAGGGGGGUAGAAUUCCACGUGUAGCAGUGAAAUGCGUAGAGAUGUGGGGGAAUACCGAUGGCGAAGGCAGCCCCCUGGGCCAAUACUGACGCUCAUGCACGAAAGCGUGGGGAGCAAA
Molecule: ribosomal RNA, 410 nt
Filed under: uncultured bacterium
Lineage: Bacteria
Description: bacterial SSU rRNA
Rfam family: Bacterial small subunit ribosomal RNA
Source: RNAcentral